ACAAUGGGCACCCAUGGCAUUCAUUCAUUCAUUGGACAAAUAUUCUGGAAGCAGAGCAUCCUUGGGAAGCCAGGCACUGAGCCAAGCACGAGAACAGAGGUGUGGAAAGCAGACCUGUCAUUGUGGAUCUUCAUUCAAGGCUAGGAUGUUGACAGCAGUAAGCAGAUACACAUGGAAUCUGCAGUAAAAGAAGCGGAGUGAUUGGUAUAAGAGACAAAAGGGAUGGAUGACUCCCAGGAAACUGUUCCAGACACAGCAAGACUGACCCACAUAUAAACACCCAGAGAUUGGGCCAAAAGCAUGUAUGCCAGUGUCUCAGAGGUGAGACAGGGGAGUGAAUAUGAGCACUAUCCCUAAUCAAGGAACGAUCUUUCAUUUACCUUUCAGAGACUUGUGUUUGUUCCUGAAACUGGCAAAUUGUUCUACAUUUUAAUCCAACAAAUAAAAUAUUAUCUUAGUAAAA
Molecule: long non-coding RNA, 463 nt
Organism: Mastomys coucha (southern multimammate mouse)
Lineage: Eukaryota; Metazoa; Chordata; Mammalia; Rodentia; Muridae
Exons: 2
Source: RefSeq, a predicted model, not a curated record